UUUAAAAACUCGGCAUUCAUGUUGUUGGUUUUCUUUAUGCACAAAUUAUUUCAUGGGGUGUUGUCCAACUUGACUCUUUUUCACUCAACUUUUCUUUUGAGUAUCUCAUUAUGGCAUGAGUUUUAGACUUAGGCAAGUGCUUAUACCUCAUCUCCAUUUUUCAUUUCUUUUCUCUCUUUUUUUCCGGUAGAAGUAGAUGUUUCUACACACUUUU
This 214-nucleotide long non-coding RNA is filed under the name Lathyrus oleraceus (garden pea). Its description in RNAcentral is "Pisum sativum (pea) long non-coding RNA (PSAT_LNC014277)". The record is from RNAcentral. Lineage: Eukaryota; Viridiplantae; Streptophyta; Magnoliopsida; Fabales; Fabaceae.